UUCCGGUUGAUCCCGCCGGAGGCUACCGCUAUUGGAGUUCGAUUAAGCCAUGCGAGUCGCGAGUCUUAGGGACUCGGCGUACCGCUCAGUAACACGUGGGUAACCUGCCCUAUGCUGGGGGAUAACCUCGGGAAACUGAGAAUAAUACCCCAUAGUUCACCACGCCUGGAACGGUGGGUGGAUCAAAGCUCCGGCGGCAUAGGAUGGGCCUGCGGCGUAUCAGGUUGUAGGGGGUGUAAUGUACCCUCUAGCCCUCUACGCGUACGGGUGUUGAGAGACAUCGCCCGGAGAUGGAUUCUGAGACACGAAUCCAGACCCUACGGGGUGCAGCAGGCGCGAAAACUUGGCAAUGCGAGAAAUCGUGACCAGGGAACUCCAAGUGCAUCGGGUAAGACCGAUGCUUUUCUUGACUCUUCAAAGGUCUUGGAAUAAGGGGUGGGUAAGGACGGUGCCAGCCGCCGCGGUAAUACCGGCGCCCCAAGUGGUAGUCGCUUUUAUUGGGCCUAAAACGUCCGUAGCCGGUCUGGUACAUUCGUGGGUAAAUCAACCAGCUCAACUGGUUGAAUUCUGCGAGCACGGCCAGACUUGGGACCGGGAGAGGUGUGGGGUACUCUCAGGGUAGGGGUAAAAUCCUGUCAUCCUGAGAGGACCACCUGUUGCGAAGGCGCCACACUAGAACGGAUCCGACGGUCAGGGACGAAGCCUAGGGGCACGAACCGGAUUAGAUACCCGGGUAGUCCUAGGUGUAAACGCUGUGGACUUGAUGUUGGGGGCGCUCCGAGCGCACUCAGUGUCGAAGCGAAGGUGAUAAGUCCACUGCCUGGGGAGUACGGUCGCAAGGCUGAAACUUAAAGGAAUUGGCGGGGGAGCACCGCAACCUGAGGAUUGUGCGGUUUAAUUGGAGUCAACGCCGG
This 914-nucleotide ribosomal RNA is filed under the name uncultured marine archaeon. Its description in RNAcentral is "bacterial SSU rRNA". It matches the Rfam family "Archaeal small subunit ribosomal RNA", at positions 1 to 921 of the family's 1478-position model. The record is from RNAcentral.